GUCCUACGGGCGGCUGCAGUGGGGAAUAUUGGACAAUGGGGGCAACCCUGAUCCAGCCAUGCCGCGUGAGUGAUGAAGGCCUUAGGGUUGUAAAGCUCUUUCACCGGGGAAGAUAAUGACGGUACCCGGAGAAGAAGCCCCGGCUAACUUCGUGCCAGCAGCCGCGGUAAUACGAAGGGGGCUAGCGUUGUUCGGAAUUACUGGGCGUAAAGCGCACGUAGGCGGACAUUUAAGUCAGGGGUGAAAUCCCGGGGCUCAACCUCGGAACUGCCGUUGAUACUGGGUGUCUUGAGUAUGGAAGAGGUAAGUGGAAUUGCGAGUGUAGAGGUGAAAUUCGUAGAUAUUCGCAGGAACACCAGUGGCGAAGGCGGCUUACUGGUCCAUUACUGACGCUGAGGUGCGAAAGCGUGGGGAGCAAACAGGAUUAGAUACCCUUGUAGUC
This 442-nucleotide ribosomal RNA is filed under the name uncultured Agrobacterium sp. RNAcentral describes it as "bacterial SSU rRNA". It matches the Rfam family "Bacterial small subunit ribosomal RNA", at positions 335 to 795 of the family's 1533-position model. The record is from RNAcentral. Lineage: Bacteria; Pseudomonadati; Pseudomonadota; Alphaproteobacteria; Hyphomicrobiales; Rhizobiaceae.